AUUGAACGCUGGCGGCAUGCUUUACACAUGCAAGCCGAACGGCAGCGCGGGCUUCGGCCUGGCGGCGAGUGGCGAACGGGUGAGUAAUGCAUCGGAACGUGCCCAGUAGUGGGGGAUAGCCCGGCGAAAGCCGGAUUAAUACCGCAUACGACCUGAGGGUGAAAGCGGGGGACCGAAAGGCCUCGCGCUAUUGGAGCGGCCGAUGUCGGAUUAGCUAGUUGGUGGGGUAAAGGCUUACCAAGGCGACGAUCCGUAGCUGGUCUGAGAGGACGACCAGCCACACUGGGACUGAGACACGGCCCAGACUCCUACGGGAGGCAGCAGUGGGGAAUUUUGGACAAUGGGGGCAACCCUGAUCCAGCCAUGCCGCGUGCGGGAAGAAGGCCUUCGGGUUGUAAACCGCUUUUGUUCGGGAAGAAAUCCUCUGGGCUAAUACCCCGGGGGGAUGACGGUACCGGAAGAAUAAGCACCGGCUAACUACGU
RNAcentral lists this ribosomal RNA (483 nucleotides) under uncultured bacterium. RNAcentral's name for it is "partial 16S ribosomal RNA". It matches the Rfam family "Bacterial small subunit ribosomal RNA", at positions 28 to 506 of the family's 1533-position model. The record is from RNAcentral.